This 621-nucleotide ribosomal RNA is filed under the name Triticum aestivum (bread wheat). RNAcentral describes it as "partial small subunit ribosomal RNA". The record is from RNAcentral. Lineage: Eukaryota; Viridiplantae; Streptophyta; Magnoliopsida; Poales; Poaceae.
AUGCAUACCACCACUGCCGAGCUCCUGCUCAUAUGCGUCCUAGCUGCCGCCAGCUUGCUGGCCUUCGAUGCACGUCAGCUCGGGCCAGCCGGCGGUUCGGCAGGCGCAAGCUGCAUACCGCGGGAGAGGGAUGCCCUGCUGUCCUUCAAGCGCGGCAUCACCAGCGACCCCAUGGGUGUCCUUGACUCUUGGGACAAGGAAGACUGUUGUCAGUGGAGGGGCGUCAAGUGCAGCAACCGGACCGGCCAUGUCCUUAGGCUUCAUCUUCGUCGUCUGGAUGUGUACAAACUCGAGGGGUACUACCAAGACGUCACGGCUUUGGUUGGCCAAAUAAUGCACCUUGAUCUCACCAUGAAUGACCUCGAGGGCCCAAGUGGCCGCAUGCCGGAGUUCUUGGGCUCUUCGACGAGAUUGAGAUACCUCAACCUCUCCGGCUGUUCGCACACGAACACGUCACCGUGUACCUCCAACGCCGAGGGUGAUGCACCGCAGCUCAUGUCGAAGGAGACCCGUCCGGAAGCGCGGUACGCAAGCAAUCCGGCGGGUGCUUUUCAGGACCCGAAACCCCACGCGCCCGGGAGGGACCCCGUCUGGACUUGCGGCGGCUAUGGGCUGCCCUAG